AGGGCUGCCAUUCUGGUCCCGCCACUGCUUCUUCCUCUGAAAGCAAUUUAGAGGAGAGCCAAGAAGAACAGAGCCUACCCCUUUAAUUAGCCUGCGGAGCCAGGCAAGGAUAAAAUCCUGACUCCUGUAGUUCGUGUGUAGGGUGACUAUAUGACUGAUAUUCAAACUGGGAUGGCUGUGAAUACGAAUGUAAGGAAAACAGAUGCAAGGGGGACUGCCACGGGAAAACCAAGAUGUAUCCACGAGACCCUGCUAGAUCUGGCUGCAGCCCCAACCCUCCCUGUCCCCAUCUGCCCACCUUGCUCCAGAUUAGACAUUUCUGGACCUGGCAACGGAACCUCUUUUAGGGCUGAAACUAAAGACAACAAUGAUUCUGACCCAGGAGCCUGGGCUCUAAACUCCUUGGGAAGUGAGCCCACUUUCCACACGGACAAACGAACGGCAGCUCAUGAACAAAGAGGCACAGGAAGAGGGAAGGGGGUCAGGGAAGGUGACAUUUCCUGAGUGCCCACACAAGGCCUGGAUCGCCACAUGCUUCAAUUCAUUUAUGAACAGCCACUAGAGGAACACGGUGACACUGAGGUGGAGAGAAAGAAACGAGCGUUUUGGCAGUGGAUGGGGUCUGGGGGUGAGUAGGCAAUGGAUAUAUUUGUAUGUAUGUAUGGUGUGCUUAUUGUUUAACAUUAAAUACAGAUUUAUCAAGCACUCUUCUACAUGCUACGUGCCCAAAGAGGUGUAAGCCACAGUCUGAGCUCUCAAGGAGGCAAAUGGUAUAAAGAAACAUACCCUAAGUUAAAUA
Cercocebus atys (sooty mangabey) is the source of this 799-nucleotide long non-coding RNA. RefSeq lists it as uncharacterized. NCBI's taxonomy places the organism in Eukaryota, Metazoa, Chordata, Mammalia, Primates, Cercopithecidae. The transcript is spliced from 3 exons. The record is from RefSeq and is a predicted model, not a curated record.